This 863-nucleotide ribosomal RNA is filed under the name uncultured fungus. RNAcentral's name for it is "SSU rRNA". It matches the Rfam family "Eukaryotic small subunit ribosomal RNA", at positions 612 to 1507 of the family's 1831-position model. Lineage: Eukaryota; Fungi. The record is from RNAcentral.
GUUGACGUUAAAAGCUCGUAGUCGACUUUCGGCCCUCGCUGGCCGGUCCGCUUUUUAUGAGUGUGUACUGGACCCAGCGGGGGCUUUACCUCCUGGUGAACUGGCAUGUCCUUUAUUGGGCGUGUCAGGGAACCCGGAAUUUUACUUUGAAUAAAUCAGAGUGUUCAAAGCAGGCAUGUUUGCCCGAAUGUUACAGCAUGGAAUAAUAGAAUAGGAUGUGUGCCGCUAUUGGUCUUUUAGCGGCACCUUAAUGAGAAAUAGGGGCGGCUCGGGGGCAUUUGUAUUCAAUUGCUAGAGGUGAAAUUCUUGGAUUUAUUGAAGACAAACUACUGCGAAAGCAUUUGCCAAGGACGCUUUCAUUGAUCAAGAACGAAGGUCGGGGGAUCGAAAACGAUUAGAUACCGUUGUAGUCUCGACAGUAAACUAUGCCAAUGGGCGAUUGGUGAGGGUUUUUUUAAUGACCUCAUCAGCAGCCAAAGAGAAAUCUUGAAUGCGGUUCGUGGGGGAGUACGGUCACAAGGCUGAAACUUAAAGGAAUUGACGGAAGGGCACCACCAGGAGUGGAGCCUGCGGCUUAAUUUGACUCAACACGGGGAAACUCACCAGGUCCAGACACAAUUAGGAUUGACAGAUUGAUAGCUCUUUCUUGAUCUUGUGGUUGGUGGUGCAUGGCCGUUCUUAGUUGGUGGAGUGAUUUGUCUGCUUAAUUGCGAUAACGAACGAGACCUUAACCUGCUAAAUAGCCCGGCCGGCUUUGGCUGGCCGCUGGCUUCUUAGAGGGACUUUCAACGUUUAGUUGACGAGUUUGAGCAUAACAGUCUGUGAUGCCCUUAGAUGUCUGGGCGCACGCGCGCUACACUGAC